GCAAGAAUUGUGCUUCUCUGGUCCUCGUAUGCAACAAAAGCAAAGCCUUUCGAUUUUCCGGUGCCUUUAUCUCUAACCAGGUUGACAUCAACAAUCUCACCGUACCUACAUGUUAAAAGUUACUGAGCAAAAACAGCAAGAAGAUCUCCUUCAGUUAGGUCAAAAGGAAUGCCUCCAACAUAAACAUAUGCUGAAUCUUUGUAUUUAGCAUGCCAUGAAGCCUCCUCAGAGAUACCUAACGAUGCUUCCUUUGAGUUUAUGUUCUGUAUACGCUUCACUAACGUCAGUGGAUUCAUUCUUCUUCUUCUUCUUCUU
Molecule: long non-coding RNA, 315 nt
Filed under: Helianthus annuus (common sunflower)
Lineage: Eukaryota; Viridiplantae; Streptophyta; Magnoliopsida; Asterales; Asteraceae
Description: hypothetical non coding rna
Source: RNAcentral